AUAAUUUUAUAGAACUAACUUUAAGUGACUAAACUCACUACAAAUUAUAACAGAUUUGUUGUCUUUAUUGAAAGGAACAGUAUUUAUUUUUACCAUUUUAUUGGUAUUUUUUAUUGAUAUUAUUGUUUUUUAACGUAUGAUACAAUUAUGUUGUGCAUUAUUCAAAAGCGUAUAAUACAAAAAACAUACUGUCUAACACGACAGUUUACUUUAAAGGCUAUUUUUUGUCAACAAAACCAAUCUGAAGAACAUAUAUUAACACCUGAAACCAAUUUUACAUCUAUACGAAGAGAAAAUACUUCAUUUCUAAGAAUUGCAAUAAUUGGUGCACCAAAUGCUGGAAAAAGCACCCUUAUAAAUAGCCUUGUAAAUAGAUCUAUAUGUCCUACUUCGUCAAAAGUUCAUACAACUCAAACAAAAUGUGAUGCAGUAUAUUCAUCAGAAAAUACGCAACUUGUUUUUGUUGAUACUCCUGGUCUUGUAACAAAACAUGAACAAAAUAGAUAUAAAUUAAGUAGCAGCUUUCAGGAUGACCCAAAGGCCUCCGCUAACAUAGCAGAUAUUAUUGGAGUUGUACACGAUGUAUCGAACAGGCAUACUAGAAAUAAGUUACAUAGCAAUAUUCUUGAUUUAUUGAAAUCUCUACAAUCUGAAAUACCUACGAUACUAAUUAUAAAUAAAAUUGAUAGAAUAAAAGAUAAACAUACACUAUUGGAGGUUAUUAGAAUAUUAACAAAUAAAAACUGUUGGCCAAAUUUCUCUGAUGUAUUUUUAAUAUCUGCACUAACUUCUGAUGGUAUAAAUAAUUUAAAAGAGUAUUUAAUGUAUUCUGCAAAAUCUAAAAAUUGGCAAUAUAACGAAGAAACUUAUACAGAUCAAUCAAUAGAAACAAUCGUAAAACAAACAGUACGUGCUAAACUAUUGGACUUUCUACCUAAUGAAAUUCCUUACUUGUCACAUUUGACAUUAGAAUAUUUGCAAAAAUCUUCAGAAGGAGGAAUAAUUGCUUCUGUUAUAGUAGAAAAUUCUAGUAAAAAAAAGACUUCCAUUAUAAUUGGUGAUCAUCGUUGGAAUAAACAUCAACCUUAUUUGAGUGACUUUUACUAGAGUUUUUUAAAUGACUGCAUUUUUAAAUAAUUGUAUAUAUGCAUUUCUGAAGGCACACACAUUUUGUAUUGUCAUCGCGUUAAGUAUAUACUAGCGCCCACUGGUGAUCAGGUUAUGCGAAAAGUGG
Molecule: unclassified non-coding RNA, 1234 nt
Filed under: Polistes canadensis
Lineage: Eukaryota; Metazoa; Arthropoda; Insecta; Hymenoptera; Vespidae
Description: gTPase Era, mitochondrial, transcript variant X2
Source: RNAcentral